CGCGGCUCCGUCGACUGGUGC
RNAcentral lists this microRNA (21 nucleotides) under Triticum aestivum (bread wheat). Its description in RNAcentral is "tae-nsmR3". The record is from RNAcentral. Lineage: Eukaryota; Viridiplantae; Streptophyta; Magnoliopsida; Poales; Poaceae.